CCGUGUCAAGCUACGACACGAGCUAAGAUCAACAAAAGAUAAGAAAACCGCAUUCGAAAUGUAGUCAAAAGGCAUGGAAACGAUGCUAUAUGCAUCCCUCAUCUGUCCAUGGGCGAAAAAGGGCAGGAAUUUGGCCGAAACGGCAUGCAACUUGCUAAGCCUUCGUGGCUACGUCAGACAAUGGCUUUCUCUCCAGGCUCCGUCGAAGGAUCCUGCUGAAAAUGCGUCGACUGGGAUUUUUAACGACAUUGACUCCAGAACUGAAACACCCUUCACUGACAGCUACAACUUCUUCUGUGGGACCAUCGUCCAUUAAAAGAUUAGAGUUGACCAGGAUCUGCUGCGAAUGGACAAGCUUGUGGAAAUAUGGCUUUAUUGGGACCAUGGAAAAAGUGCUUAGAAAAUGGAUUUCAUUCCACUACGCUGGAUCUAUGCGUUCAAUGCAUUUUUUCUAAGCCAGUACCCUUCUAACUUAGUCACCAGCCAGAAAUGUAUCUUGAUGUGAAUACACAAAAAUACAGAUCUAGUGUUGCUGUUUUUGCUUGUUUUAAGUGUUAUAUUAAUUCUGGCAACACAAAAUCUUUAUCAAAUGUCAUAAACACAUCUACCAAACAUUUGAAACAAGUAUUGGUGCCUUAGUAUACACAUAGGUGAAUUCAGAAUGAGAAAUGUAGCUAAUUUCUUGAAGGAAACACUUCAACAUUAAUGAUUUGCACCCAGCACAAUGAAAUAUAUAUUGAAUUAAGCUAAAGGCUUAUGUAUCAUAUAUUAAAAAUAUCACAACCUACUAUGCAAUGAAAUAUAUAAAAUAAAAAAUGCACACCAUGAU
Molecule: long non-coding RNA, 829 nt
Organism: Corythoichthys intestinalis (scribbled pipefish)
Lineage: Eukaryota; Metazoa; Chordata; Actinopteri; Syngnathiformes; Syngnathidae
Exons: 2
Source: RefSeq, a predicted model, not a curated record